UCGUCGCGUGGCGGUGACGUAAUCGCACUUAAAAUGCGUACUUCAAGCGUGCAUACCCUGAAUUGGGACACAGCCGUAGAUUUCAUCAUCUGACAGUAGGUAUGAGGGUCCGUGCCUGGCUUUUUUUUGUGUGUGUGACCGAGUUGACUUAUCAGCAAAGACUUUACAUUACAGUGAAGCAAAUAUGCAUGAAGGCAGCUGACUUCAACCAGACUGAAAAGAAGUAUAACAGGAAUCACUACUCGGUUGUCAGGUUUCCAGCUCUCCAUGUCCGUGUCUGCAACUGAAUAUAAUCGAGGCUUUGUACAAGACUACUUUUUAUUUAUUUAUUUUUAGAAGGAACAUGACCGUAUUUGGCCGGGAGGAUAAAGGUGUGGCGUUAACAGCUAAUGCUAGCACUAGCUUGCUCACGAGGCAGCCAAAUGCUGGACAACAUGAAAUCUUAGUUGUAGUCGGGAGAAGGUCACUGCCUGCCACAUCUUAUGAGUUGAUGGUUGAGUAGAGAGAAGUGUUCUUUCAUGCCAGAGGAAUGCUGUUCCUGACAAGUACACAGGCAGGACUGUGCUUUUGUUGAAGAAUCUGCAGAGGAUUCCUAGAACUGCAGGAUAUGGACUUAGCAGCAGAAAACCAUCAACUCGUGAGUGACCAAAUCCUUAUAGUGUGAAUUAGACUAUGUCAGGAGGGUUGGGGAAAACCUCCGAGUAGCAGAGGGGAAUGUAUAGGAUCUGGAAUCAUUUUAAACUGUAAUAUAAAGAAUGAGAAAAUGACCACUUUGAUGAUCUGUUUGAUAAGCAACUGAUAUGAAAUCCCAUCUGGAU
Long non-coding RNA from Oreochromis niloticus (Nile tilapia), 818 nucleotides. RefSeq lists it as uncharacterized. The transcript has 3 exons. The record is from RefSeq and is a predicted model, not a curated record. NCBI's taxonomy places the organism in Eukaryota, Metazoa, Chordata, Actinopteri, Cichliformes, Cichlidae.